GAUGAACGCUGGCGGCGUGCCUAAUACAUGCAAGUCGAGCGAACAGACGAGGAGCUUGCUCCUCUGACGUUAGCGGCGGACGGGUGAGUAACACGUGGAUAACCUACCUAUAAGACUGGGAUAACUUCGGGAAACCGGAGCUAAUACCGGAUAAUAUAUUGAACCGCAUGGUUCAAUAGUGAAAGACGGUUUUGCUGUCACUUAUAGAUGGAUCCGCGCCGCAUUAGCUAGUUGGUAAGGUAACGGCUUACCAAGGCAACGAUGCGUAGCCGACCUGAGAGGCUGAUCGGCCACACUGGAACUGAGACCCGGUCCAGACUCCUACGUGAGGCAGCAGUAGGGAAUCUUCCGCAAUGGGCGAAAGCUUGACGGAGCAACGCCGCGUGAGUGAUGAAGGUCUUCGGAUCGUAAAACUCUGUUAUUAGGGAAGAACAAAUGUGUAAGUAACUAUGCACGUCUUGACGGUACCUAAUCAGAAAGCCACGGCUAACUACGUG
Molecule: ribosomal RNA, 497 nt
Filed under: uncultured bacterium
Lineage: Bacteria
Description: partial 16S ribosomal RNA
Rfam family: Bacterial small subunit ribosomal RNA
Source: RNAcentral